This 1571-nucleotide long non-coding RNA is filed under the name Homo sapiens (human). Its description in RNAcentral is "non-protein coding lnc-ST3GAL4-55:2". The record is from RNAcentral. Lineage: Eukaryota; Metazoa; Chordata; Mammalia; Primates; Hominidae.
AGAGGAAGACACCAGAGCUGUCCCUCUCUCGGCUUGCACUAAGGAGGAGGUCACGUGAGCACACAGUGAGAAGGCGGAGGACCAUCUGCAAGCAGGAAGAGAGCCCUCGCUAGAACCCCCCACGGUGGCAUCUGAUAGUGGACUUCUAGCUUCCAGAACUGAACUCAUAAAUGUCACAUCAGGCUGCCUCUUGGUGAAUUUUUAAUCAACGGGGAGAAUUUCAGCUACAAAUAGACCAAGAAUCAAGAGGCCCACUAUUGAUCGGUCAAAGUGGCACUUAUGAACCUGAGGUUGAAGCAGUUUGGAUAAAAGGAUUCUGGGCUUUCGAUGGCCCCAGAGACAUCUUUUUCCAUCAAGUCCAGGCUUGCUGAUCGGUACAGCUGAGAACAUGUUGAAUUUGAUGUGCCUGUGGAUAUUUGAGUCUGGAACAUUGAAGACAAGUUUGGUCUGGAGAUGUAGACUGGGGAUAUCUCAGCACACAGAUGAUAACUGAAAUGAUGGAGCGGAUGAUAUAAACUGGAGAGAGUCUGGUGUGGGAAGAGUCUUCCCUGAGGUGGCCGAAAGAUGUAAUUCUUACUCCAAAGACUGAAAUAGAGACAAGAGAAGCUGAAGUUACAGGGUUUUGUCAUUGGGAAGACAGUAGAGUGUGUCAUAUCCCAAGAGUGAAGCAAGGACAAACCAAAGAACAACUGGGAAGAUCUGGGAGAAAAAGGGAGAGGAGAGCCUGACGUUUCAAGAACUCAAGGUUCAGUACUAGGUCUUAGAGGAAGACUUCAUUUUAGCUUUGAUGCUCUCCGCUAGGCACAGAGAAACUUAAGCAGAAUGACAAGACCUGCUGUUUGAGUAACUCACGUUCUGACCAGAGAGACAGACAUGUCAGCAAGAGGUUACAAUACAGUGUGCUCAGAUUCUCCGGGACUUGGAGCACUUGUUCCAGAAAGGAAGGCCAGGGAAGUCUUCCAGGAGUAGAUGGCGCCUCUGCUGACCUGAAGGGUGAGGAAAAAGUGUCCAGUUGCAGAAGAAAUGAUGCAACUGAGUCACAGAGAAGUUAAGUAAUCUGCCUGCCGACACUCGGGUCGAUGCCGCCUCAUUCCAUCACUCGGGCAAUGGAGCCAAAGGCCACGUUCACAACCACUAGGCUGUCCCAGCCCCUUGCUUCAAAGAUAGCCAGGCAGGAGUUAUUUUAUAGAAUGGAAGUAAUUUCUACGGGGCCAAGCAAUAAUAAGGAAAUUGGAAGUCAAGGACUAUCUUCCGAAUGGAGAAGAAGCUCCAUCAACCACAGAAGGAAAUUAUGAUCACUCCUGCCAUCCUGCUCCUUUGUGUAUCCAGGAUGAAGGGGAGAAUUGGAGUCUUGCACAAUGAAAGGACAACAUUGCUGCCAAAACAAUCCAUCGUGACUGUAGACAUAUUUUCCACCCUCAUCCUGCAGGUUUUCUGCCAGUUGUUGGCCCCUCACCAAUUUUGCUCCUGGGCAGUCUGAGGUGGAACAUAAUUUUGUAUAAAACAAAUUAUGCUCAACCUCACUUAUAAUCAGGGAAAUGUGAGUCAAAACCACAAUAAAAUAUCACCUC